UGGGAUAUAGCCAAGAGGUAAGGCAAUGAACUUUGAAUUCAUUAUGCAUAGGUUCGAAUCCUAUUAUCCCAA
Molecule: transfer RNA, 72 nt
Filed under: Clydonella sawyeri
Lineage: Eukaryota; Discosea; Flabellinia; Vannellidae
Description: tRNA-Gln
Rfam family: tRNA
About the family: Transfer RNA (tRNA) molecules are approximately 80 nucleotides in length. Their secondary structure includes four short double-helical elements and three loops (D, anti-codon, and T loops).
Source: RNAcentral